GAAAUGCGAUAAGUAAUGUGAAUUGCAGAAUUCCGUGAAUCAUCGAAUCUUUGAACGCACAUUGCACCCUCUGGCAUUCCGGGGGGCAUGCCUGUCCGAGCGUCAUUACGCACCCUCAAGCCCGGCUUGUGUAAUGGGCCCCGGCGUCUCGUUCGCGAGACGGGCCCGAAAGGCAGCGGCGGCGUCGACCCGAUGAGCCCGAGCGUAUGGGGACUUCUGUCACACGUUCGCGGUGCGGACCGGCGCCUGCUUGACUUUUCUGAUUAUCCAGGUUGACCUCGGAUCAGGUAGGGAUACCCGCUGAACUUAAGC
This 312-nucleotide unclassified non-coding RNA is filed under the name plant metagenome. RNAcentral describes it as "partial contains 5.8S ribosomal RNA, internal transcribed spacer 2, and large subunit ribosomal RNA". The stretch from base 1 to 105 matches the Rfam family "5.8S ribosomal RNA", at positions 50 to 154 of the family's 154-position model. The record is from RNAcentral.